RNAcentral lists this ribosomal RNA (1106 nucleotides) under uncultured bacterium. RNAcentral describes it as "bacterial SSU rRNA". It matches the Rfam family "Bacterial small subunit ribosomal RNA", at positions 244 to 1355 of the family's 1533-position model. The record is from RNAcentral.
GUUUGUUGGUGAGGUAAUGGCUCACCAAGACGACGACGGGUAGCCGGCCUGAGAGGGCGACCGGCCACACUGGGACUGAGACACGGCCCAGACUCCUACGGGAGGCAGCAGUGGGGAAUAUUGCACAAUGGGGGAAACCCUGAUGCAGCGACGCAGCGUGCGGGAUGACGGCCUUCGGGUUGUAAACCGCUUUCAGCAGGGAAGAAGCCCUUCGGGGUGACGGUACCUGCAGAAGAAGUACCGGCUAACUACGUGCCAGCAGCCGCGGUAAUACGUAGGGUACAAGCGUUGUCCGGAAUUAUUGGGCGUAAAGAGCUCGUAGGUGGUUGGUCACGUCUGCUGUGGAAACGCAACGCUUAACGUUGCGCGUGCAGUGGGUACGGGCUGACUAGAGUGCAGUAGGGGAGUCUGGAAUUCCUGGUGUAGCGGUGAAAUGCGCAGAUAUCAGGAGGAACACCGGUGGCGAAGGCGGGACUCUGGGCUGUAACUGACACUGAGGAGCGAAAGCAUGGGGAGCGAACAGGAUUAGAUACCCUGGUAGUCCAUGCCGUAAACGUUGGGCACUAGGUGUGGGGGACAUUCCACGUUCUCCGCGCCGUAGCUAACGCAUUAAGUGCCCCGCCUGGGGAGUACGGUCGCAAGGCUAAAACUCAAAGGAAUUGACGGGGGCCCGCACAAGCGGCGGAGCAUGCGGAUUAAUUCGAUGCAACGCGAAGAACCUUACCAAGGCUUGACAUACACCAGACCGUUCUGGAAACAGUUCCUCCCCUUUGGGGUUGGUGUACAGGUGGUGCAUGGUUGUCGUCAGCUCGUGUCGUGAGAUGUUGGGUUAAGUCCCGCAACGAGCGCAACCCUCGUUCUAUGUUGCCAGCACGUGAUGGUGGGAACUCAUAGGAGACUGCCGGGGUCAACUCGGAGGAAGGUGGGGAUGACGUCAAAUCAUCAUGCCCUUUAUGUCUUGGGCUUCACGCAUGCUACAAUGGCUGGUACAGAGAGAUGCGAGACCGCGAGGUUUUAGCGAAUCCCUUAAAGCCAGUCUCAGUUCGGAUCGUAGUCUGCAAUUCGACUACGUGAAGUCGGAGUCGCUAGUAAUCGCAGAUCAGCAA